RNAcentral lists this ribosomal RNA (480 nucleotides) under uncultured bacterium. RNAcentral describes it as "partial 16S ribosomal RNA". It matches the Rfam family "Bacterial small subunit ribosomal RNA", at positions 28 to 507 of the family's 1533-position model. The record is from RNAcentral.
GACGAACGCUGGCGGCGUGCUUAACACAUGCAAGUCGAACGAUGAAGAAAAGAAUCGAAGCCUCGGCAGAAAUUCAUUUCGGAUUAGUGGCAGACGGGUGAGUAACGCGUGAGCAACCUACCUCUUACAAAGGGAUAGCCUCGGGAAACCGGGAUUAAUACCAUAUAACAUUGUGACGAAGCAUUUCGAUGCAAUCAAAGCUACGGCGGUAAGAGAUGGGCUCGCGUCCCAUUAACCGGAUGGUGAGGUAACGGCUCACCAUAGUGACGAUGGGUAACCGGCCUGAGAGGGUGAACGGUCACACUGGAACUGAGACACGGUCCAGACUCCUACGGGAGGCAGCAGUGGGGAAUAUUGCACAAUGGAGGGAACUCUGAUGCAGCGACGCCGCGUGAGUGAUGAAGGAAUUCGUUUCGUAAAACUCUGUUCUAUGGGAAGAAAAGGACUGUACCAUAGGAGAAAGCUCCGGCUAAAUACGUG